GUCGAUAUGUUCGAGUGGUUAAGAAGACAGACUUGAAAUCUGUUGGCCUUCGCCCGUUCAGGUUCGAACCCUGCUGUUGAUG
This is a non-coding RNA of Cucurbita pepo subsp. pepo (vegetable marrow), 82 nucleotides long. NCBI's taxonomy places the organism in Eukaryota, Viridiplantae, Streptophyta, Magnoliopsida, Cucurbitales, Cucurbitaceae. The record is from the annotation of a RefSeq genome assembly.